This 67-nucleotide transfer RNA is filed under the name Marmota monax (woodchuck). Its description in RNAcentral is "tRNA.Ala". The record is from RNAcentral. Lineage: Eukaryota; Metazoa; Chordata; Mammalia; Rodentia; Sciuridae.
GGUCCUGGCUCAGGGGUAGAGUGUUCACCUGGCACCUGUGAGGCCCUGGGUUCAAACCUCAGCACCA